This 479-nucleotide ribosomal RNA is filed under the name uncultured bacterium. RNAcentral's name for it is "partial 16S ribosomal RNA". It matches the Rfam family "Bacterial small subunit ribosomal RNA", at positions 28 to 507 of the family's 1533-position model. The record is from RNAcentral.
GAUGAACGCUAGCGGGAGGCCUAACACAUGCAAGCCGAGCGGUAUGGGUAGCUUGCUACCCAGAGAGCGGCAUACGGGUGCGUAACACGUGUGCAACCUGCCCCUAUCCGGGGGAUAGCCCUCCGAAAGGAGGAUUAAUACCCCAUAAUAUAUCUGGUGGCAUCACUAGAUAUUGAAAACCCCGGUGGAUAGGGAUGGGCACGCGCAAGAUUAGAUAGUUGGCGGGGUAACGGCCCACCAAGUCGAUGAUCUUUAGGGGUCCUGAGAGGGAGAUCCCCCACACUGGUACUGAGACACGGACCAGACUCCUACGGGAGGCAGCAGUGAGGAAUAUUGGACAAUGGGUGGAAGCCUGAUCCAGCCAUCCCGCGUGAGGGACGACGGCCCUAUGGGUUGUAAACCUCUUUUGUACGGGGAUAAACCUAUCUACGUGUAGAUAGCUGAAGGUACCGUACGAAUAAGCACCGGCUAACUCCGUG